GUAUGCGCGUGCGCGACUGAGUGAGUGAGAGUGCGUGCAUGUGUGCGUGUGAGUGUGCAUGUUUGUGUGCGUGGCAAUGUGGAAUAACAUCUUAUUAGGCUUUUUUCUGUUUAAUCAGGAACUUGACCAUAUCGUAACUUCUUAAUGGAUUUUAGUACUAACUAGAAUAUUGGAAUUGUCAUGCCACUUGGAAAUAACUGCUCUCAUGACAAUUGUAUUGACUAAGUUAUAUCUUGUCUUUUAAAAAGCUAUAUAAACCUUUGCAGUUUAAGUAUUUGGCACAAUUUGAAUAUUUAUUAGGAUUAAACAUACAUAUGGCAGGCAAGACUUUUCCGAUAGUGUUUAUAAUAUGUAGAUUUCAAUUAUUUUGAGCUCUAGAAUUGAAAAUCAUAGUCCAUUUCUAGUAGAAACUGAGGAGCAUUUCACAGGUCAAUCAAAUUAUAUUCAAUGUGAUAUUCUUGUUGGGCUGUUUCCAAGUGCAAGUUUCGUGUUUGUUGGCACAGCAAAUGCUAGCUUUCUUGAUGAAUCAUAGUGGCAAGGCCCCAGAGGUGUUGCAGUUGUACACUAACACUAUUCCAAUUCCAAGGAAGGGGCCAACAAUCAGUCCAAUGAUUUUUAUGACACGGAGGCAUUAAUGAAGCAAGCAAGAGCUAACAGGGAGCAGAACCACUCUCCUGAUGGUUGGGGUUUUGGACAUCUGUAGGAUGGGGAAAUUCAAGGGGUAUAACUUAGUUCUUAUAAAUAUGCGCGGAGGUGGUAUUAAUUCUUACGUUUAAAGAAUUUUGCUGGUCCUGAUUUUCUCUUGGGUUGCCCCCAUUUUCUUUUGUAUCUUAGUUAAUGGAUUAAGAGACGAAUCAAUGAUUUAAUCAGGUUUGAUAAUUUUAUGUAUCUAUGUAUCUAUACCUUGAUGUUAUCCAAUCAGAAUUAUUUAGUUCUUAGCACAUCUAAUCCAUGUAUAGGAUUUUUUUUUUUGGCCAGAAUAA
Neltuma alba is the source of this 983-nucleotide long non-coding RNA. RefSeq lists it as uncharacterized. NCBI's taxonomy places the organism in Eukaryota, Viridiplantae, Streptophyta, Magnoliopsida, Fabales, Fabaceae. The record is from RefSeq and is a predicted model, not a curated record. The transcript has 2 exons.